This 560-nucleotide small RNA is filed under the name Pongo abelii (Sumatran orangutan). Its description in RNAcentral is "retained intron". Lineage: Eukaryota; Metazoa; Chordata; Mammalia; Primates; Hominidae. The record is from RNAcentral.
AAUCACAGAUAAUUUAUACAAUUAUAUUUUUCCCCCAGGUCCAUGUGAAAAAAUUCAUGAUGAAAAUCUACGAAAACAAUAUGAGAAGAGCUCUCGUUUCAUGAAAGUUGGCUAUGAGAGAGAUUUUCUGCGAUACUUACAGAGCUUACUUGCAGAAGUAGAACGUAGGAUCAGACGAGGCCAUGCUCGUUUGGCAUUAUCUCAAAACCAGCAGUCUUCUGGGGCCGCUGGCCCAACAGGCAAAAAUGAAGAAAAAAUUCAGGUUCUAACAGACAAAAUUGAUGUACUUCUGCAACAGAUUGAAGAAUUAGGGUCUGAAGGAAAAGUAGAAGAAGCCCAGGGGAUGAUGAAAUUAGUUGAGCAAUUAAAAGAAGAGAGAGAACUGCUAAGGUCCACAACCUCGACAAUUGAAAGCUUUGCUGCACAAGAAAAACAAAUGGAAGUUUGUGAAGUGUGUGGCGCCUUUUUAAUAGUAGGAGAUGCCCAGUCGCGGGUAGAUGACCAUUUGAUGGGAAAACAACACAUGGGCUAUGCCAAAAUUAAAGCUACUGUAGAAGAAU